UGGGGAAUCUUGCGCAAUGGGCGAAAGCCUGACGCAGCGACGCCGCGUGAGUGAUGAAGGCCUUCGGGUUGUAAAGCUCUGUGGAGCGGGACGAAUAAGUCGUGGCCAACAUCCACGAUGAUGACGGUACCGCUUUAGCAAGCACCGGCUAACUCUGUGCCAGCAGCCGCGGUAAGACAGAGGGUGCAAACGUUGUUCGGAAUUACUGGGCGUAAAGCGCGUGUAGGCUGCUUCGAAAGUCGGAUGUGAAAGCCCUGGGCUCAACCUAGGAAGUGCAUUCGAAACUUCGAAGCUGGAGUCCUGGAGAGGAAGGCGGAAUUCUCGGUGUAGAGGUGAAAUUCGUAGAUAUCGAGAGGAACACCGGUGGCGAAGGCGGCCUUCUGGACAGUGACUGACGCUGAGACGCGAAAGCGUGGGGAGCAAACA
RNAcentral lists this ribosomal RNA (426 nucleotides) under uncultured Minicystis sp. Its description in RNAcentral is "bacterial SSU rRNA". It matches the Rfam family "Bacterial small subunit ribosomal RNA", at positions 355 to 774 of the family's 1533-position model. The record is from RNAcentral. Lineage: Bacteria; Pseudomonadati; Myxococcota; Polyangiales; Polyangiaceae.